Molecule: long non-coding RNA, 842 nt
Organism: Epinephelus lanceolatus (giant grouper)
Lineage: Eukaryota; Metazoa; Chordata; Actinopteri; Perciformes; Serranidae
Source: RefSeq, a predicted model, not a curated record
GGACAGCAUCAAACCCAAAAGCACCACAUAUCACCUCAUGAACCUGGAGCUCUGGACGCACUUCUGGACUUUUAACUGUUUGGAAAGACUUGGGGGACAAAGAUACGCCGGUGCGAGAGGGUAGGAGCAGAGAGGAGAGAGUGGCCGGGAGGAUCAGGAGCAGGAGGAUGAGAGCGGGGUAUGAAUGAAUGAAUCCUGGAGAGAGGAUCCACUUUAGAAACUUGAGGUCGUCCAUCCACCAGUGUGCAUUAACAAUUCCUCUGUCUGCAUUAUCUCCGGUAAAUGUCCUCCAGAGCUGUGGAGUGUGACAAUGGUGUUUGUGUCCUGUGUAUCAAACGCCAUUAUCACACUAAAUAGCUACAGUGUGAAAAGAGCCUCAACAUGUCCCUCAGUCAGUCUCCCUCUGUUUGUAUUGUGGCUUCUGUAUCUGAAUUUUCUCACCAUAGAUUUGUAAUAGUUCCCUCAUUCAUUCUGUAAAUCUUAGAAAUGUGUUUAUGUGACACCACUGAGGAGGAGCUGAGAUAAAAAUAGAUACACUGUGUUGAUACAUGGUACAUGAUCUUGAGCUUCUGAGUGUGACCCACUUACUUUUGUGUUUGAGGUGCUAAUUUGCUGCUGGAGACCACCUCCUCUGUGAGUACAACAUAAAAAUAGACGGCCCAUUUGUUUUUUCAUGCUGUCGCCAUUUCUUGUGUUGACAUCUCUCAAACUUUUUCCCAACACGUAAACAGGUAAUCUGAUCUAAACAACUGUAGCACUACAUUUUAAGACCGUACAACUGUCUUCAUCCUACAAAUGACAUAAAUAAAGUGUUUGUUUUUUGUCUGUUGCUACAGAGUGAA